GACGAACGCUGGCGGCGUGCUUAACACAUGCAAGUCGAACGCUGAAGCUCAGCUUUUGUUGGGUGGAUGAGUGGCGAACGGGUGAGUAACACGUGAGUAACCUGCCUCCUUCUUUGGGAUAACGCCCGGAAACGGGUGCUAAUACUGGAUAUUCACUGGUCUUCGCAUGGGGGUUGGUGGAAAGGGUUUUUCUGGUGGGGGAUGGGCUCGCGGCCUAUCAGCUUGUUGGUGGGGUGAUGGCCUACCAAGGCUUUGACGGGUAGCCGGCCUGAGAGGGUGACCGGUCACAUUGGGACCGAGAUACGGCCCAGACUCCUACGGGAGGCAGCAGUGGGGAAUAUUGCACAAUGGGCGCAAGCCUGAUGCAGCGACGCCGCGUGAGGGAUGGAGGCCUUCGGGUUGUGAACCUCUUUCGCUCAUGGUCAAGCCGCAACAAUGGUUGUGGUGAGGGUAGUGGGUAAAGAAGCGCCGGCUAACUACGUG
Molecule: ribosomal RNA, 483 nt
Filed under: uncultured bacterium
Lineage: Bacteria
Description: partial 16S ribosomal RNA
Rfam family: Bacterial small subunit ribosomal RNA
Source: RNAcentral